CUACGGGUUGCUCCAGUGGGGAAUAUUGCACAAUGGGCGCAAGCCUGAUGCAGCAACGCCGCGUGAGGGAUGAAGGCCUUCGGGUUGUAAACCUCUUUUAGCAGGGAAGAAGCGAAAGUGACGGUACCUGCAGAAAAAGCACCGGCUAACUACGUGCCAGCAGCCGCGGUAAUACGUAGGGUGCAAGCGUUGUCCGGAAUUAUUGGGCGUAAAGAGCUCGUAGGCGGUUUGUGACGUCUGCUGUGAAAAUCCAAGGCUCAACCUUGGACUUGCAGUGGGUACGGGCAGGCUAGAGUGCGGUAGGGGAGAUGGGAAUUCCUGGUGUAGCGGUGGAAUGCGCAGAUAUCAGGAGGAACACCAAUGGCGAAGGCACAUCUCUGGGCCGUAACUGACGCUGAGGAGCGAAAGCGUGGGGAGCGAACAGGAUUAGAUACCCGUGUAGUC
This 444-nucleotide ribosomal RNA is filed under the name uncultured bacterium. Its description in RNAcentral is "partial 16S ribosomal RNA". It matches the Rfam family "Bacterial small subunit ribosomal RNA", at positions 339 to 795 of the family's 1533-position model. The record is from RNAcentral.